GGGUCUUGGGAGUGAUUAUGCGUGUCUCUUCUGCCAAUCUCUCCAGGAAACAGGAGAUAUCUUGUUCUAUGAAUGCUCUUACUCUAACUCCGUUUGGUCCUCGGUUUAACAAAAACUGUCUUUCACCACAAGAGAUCAUUUUUGGAAUGAGAUACCUCUCGGCCUUAUAAAUUUCUCAAGGAAAAAUAACUUGAAGUACCUGACUCUGUUGGCUUGGCAAGUCACUAUUUACAAGGUCUGGCGUGAAAGGAACAACCGUCUACACACACCGCAAUAUAUAUAUCUCUCUG
This 290-nucleotide long non-coding RNA is filed under the name Brassica rapa (field mustard). RNAcentral's name for it is "long non-coding RNA (BRAP_LNC005676)". The record is from RNAcentral. Lineage: Eukaryota; Viridiplantae; Streptophyta; Magnoliopsida; Brassicales; Brassicaceae.